GAUACGCUCACUCACCUGGGCUCAUGGCCCCUUAUCGCGGUGUUCGAUACCACUUACAUGAAUAUCGAACCGGGAGAGCACCCAUGAACAAGAAGGAGCUGCUCAAUUACUGACACGCGCAAUUGCGAAACGCAGUUAAGCGUUGUUUUGGCGUAAUGAAAGGACGGUUUCCUAUCUUGAAGACAGCUGCGCAAUAUCCAUUUGAAACCUAGGUGAAGAUUGUAGUAGCAUGUUGUAUACUACAUAAUUUCAUUUGUCAAGAAGACGAAACUAAACAAGAUUUAGAGGAUGCUGGUAUAACUGUGGGGGAUGCAGAGAGUAAUCCUACACCAAAUGAGGUAUCAACAAUGGAUGAGCGCUAGUGGCUAGUGCAAGCGACACAACAGGAGAAAUCUAUGUGGAUUAAUGUUCGAGAUCAGAUUGCAGAGCGAAUGUGGACCGACGCGCAAACAAAUAGUGACAUGUCUGACUAUUCUGUAAGAGAUACACAAACUCCGAUGCAGUCCCCAACAAGAACUCCAGUUCUGCCGACAAGAUGCUCUCCACACGAGAAGACUGUUAAAUCGCUUGUUGAGCCACUAUCACGCGCGGUAAAAAUCAAAUGGACCCGGACCAUGGAUUCAAUUUUAUUCAACGCUUUGCUUGAACAGAUAUCUCUAGGCCGUAAAGCAGAUAACGGUUUUAAGGAGGCAUAUAAUGAGGCCGCUGCGGAGGUGUCGAGGAAGACACAAAUUACGGUGAACUGGCAAAAUAUUUAAAACUGAGUGCGAUAUCACAAGCGUGAGUACAACAAUCUGAAGGACAUGCUCGCCGCAAGUGGUUUCGUUUAGGACAGCAAGCGUAUGGUAGUAACCGCACCCGACGAGGUCUGGGAUGAGUACCUGAAGUCACAUCCAAGAGCAGAAAGGUUACGUGGAAAGCGGAUUGAGCAAAUGAACGAUUUGGCGGCGAUUGUUGGUUCGGACCAUGCAACAGGUCGCUACGCUCAGGGAAGCAGAAACAUGGCUGCAUCUUCCUCCGUAUUCAGCGAGAUUUGAAUGAUGCUUGGACUGAUCUGGACGAUGAGACGGAUGUACCUAUCGAUCUUUCUGAGGAUCAUCUCGGAGAUUCGACUCGGAAUUAUGACUUUUCAAAUGAUUCUCAUCGGGCAACUGAAAAUCAUUCAUUCCGCAGCACUUCCAACCGAGCGACUGACUCUGAGAGUAGUCGUGUGGGAGUGCGUCUACGAAACGGAUGCGUGCUGCUCGUCCCUGUGACAUCCUUGGCAAUUCCCUAGAUAGUGUGGCGGCGGCAAUGCGAAACUUUAAACUUGGAAAAGAGAUGAACCGCACUAGUAAAGUGUUGGAUGUCCUCGAGGAGGUUCAGGGACUGACCAACACAGAGUUUAUAGAGGUUGAUCAGAUGCUGACUCGGGAUAAGCAGCUAGCAUCUUUUUUUGUAAGUCUUUGCCCGGAGUGGAGGGUGGAGUGGUUGAAAAAAACU
Long non-coding RNA from Magnolia sinica, 1482 nucleotides. RefSeq lists it as uncharacterized. The transcript has 3 exons. NCBI's taxonomy places the organism in Eukaryota, Viridiplantae, Streptophyta, Magnoliopsida, Magnoliales, Magnoliaceae. The record is from RefSeq and is a predicted model, not a curated record.